UUGAAAUAAACCUGAUGGGUUGUUGCUGGUUCUCUUAGGGAGCAUGUGCACACCUUGUCAUCUUUAUAUCUCCACCUGUGCACUUUUUGUAGGCCUUUUAUAGGUCUAUGUUGCUUCAUUUACCCCAAUGUAUGUUAAUAGAAUGUUGUGCCUAUAUAAUAAAUA
RNAcentral lists this unclassified non-coding RNA (165 nucleotides) under uncultured Cortinarius. RNAcentral's name for it is "sequence contains ITS1". Lineage: Eukaryota; Fungi; Basidiomycota; Agaricomycetes; Agaricales; Cortinariaceae. The record is from RNAcentral.